AUUGAACGCUGGCGGCAAGCCUAACACAUGCAAGUCGAACGAGUGGCGGACGGGUGAGUAAUGUCUGGGAAACUGCCUGAUGGAGGGGGAUAACUACUGGAAACGGUAGCUAAUACCGCAUACCAUCGGAUGUGCCCAGAUGGGAUUAGCGAGUAGGUGGGGUAAAGGCGCACCUAGGCGACGAUCCCUAGCUGGUCUGAGAGGAUGACCAGCACCACUGGAACUGAGACACGGUCCAGACUCCUACGGUAGGCGUCAGGGGGGAAUAUUGCACAAUGGGCGCAAUCCUGAUGCAGCCAUGCCGCGUGUAUGAAGAAGGCCUUCGGGUUGUAAAGUACUUUCAGCGAGGAGGCGUUACCCGCAGAAGAAGCACCGGCUAACUCCGUGCCAGCAGCCGCGGUAAUUC
This 406-nucleotide ribosomal RNA is filed under the name uncultured bacterium. RNAcentral describes it as "partial 16S ribosomal RNA". It matches the Rfam family "Bacterial small subunit ribosomal RNA", at positions 30 to 526 of the family's 1533-position model. The record is from RNAcentral.